UCGAGCGCUCCCCGCCCGGCGGCGCCUCCGGGGACGAUGCGGGGCUGGCGCGGGCCAGGCCGGCUUCCCAACUUAGGGAGGCGGGGUGGAAGGGGGUGCUUUCCCUUUCUAUCAAAUUCGUGUUGUGCUGGUGAACUCAUCCCGGGUCCAGCAUGACGAUCCGACACCAAGGCCAGCAGUACAGGCCGAGGAUGGCAUUUCUCCCAAAGUGGAAAAGACAAAGAAAGCAAUCUGGAAUGGUCUCUAGCACUUUCCACAAGAACUCUACUUAAGUUACACCAAGUAUUUACAUGUCUGCUGUGGGCUGAAUGAUGUCCUAUUCAUGGAUGGAAAUCCCAACUUCCAGCUGAUUAAAAUGAGGAAGAGCUCAGAAGACCCCACAGGUACACAGACCAAGAGGAGACCAUGUGAGAAGACAGUAAGAAGGUCGCCUGCUUGUGCCAAGGAGACAGUCCUCGAAAGGAACCAAACUGUUGACACUUUCAUCUUGAACUUCUAACAAUGAGGGUAUCGUGACCCACUUCCACACAGUGCCAACUGGCACCCUUCUUCCAAGUCCCUUUUCUACACAUUCCUUUGCAAUUCCUCCUCGUCUGACCCAGUCACCGCCUGUCCGGUUCACAAAUAAUAACGCGCAUCAUAUGUCUGUUACUUUCUUUCUGGUGCUGUUACAGAAGCUUGAACUCGGGGCCUGAGCGCUGUCUCUGAGCUUUUCUGCGCAAGGCUAGUGCUCUACCACUUGAGCCACAGUUCUACCUCCUGCCUUCCGGUAGUUACUGCAGAUGAGAGUCUCACCGACUGUCCUGUCUGGGCUGGCUUCGAACACCCAUCCUCAGAUCUCAGCCUUCCGAGCAGCUAGGAUUACAGGCGUGAGCCACGGGCGCCCGGCUCGGUUUCCUUUGAGAUGGGCCACUCGGCCUCCGCUUCACGAAGAGCAACGGGGCCUUGAGCCCUUGGACUGGGGCAGCACCCGCAUCUCCCACAGGGAGGGGGAAGGGGGGUCCGGCGCCCUGGGCUCCAAAGCGGCGGCGGGGGACGGCCCCCAACCUCCUCUGACACCCCCAGACCCGAACCCCAGAGGUGAGGAAGAACCCAGAGCCACGCUGCCGCCAACCUAACACGCCACCGCGGCGGGACGGAAGCGGAGGUGUGAAGAAGAAACCGGAAGUCCGGUCCUGGAGCCUGCCGUUCCUCUCUAGGAGCC
Molecule: long non-coding RNA, 1204 nt
Organism: Dipodomys spectabilis (banner-tailed kangaroo rat)
Lineage: Eukaryota; Metazoa; Chordata; Mammalia; Rodentia; Heteromyidae
Exons: 4
Source: RefSeq, a predicted model, not a curated record